This 25-nucleotide non-coding RNA is filed under the name Mus musculus (house mouse). Lineage: Eukaryota; Metazoa; Chordata; Mammalia; Rodentia; Muridae. The record is from RNAcentral.
UAUUUUAGUAGGAUGUAACUUGGAG